CCCAGCAUGCUACAUACAGCAGGGCUAUUGGGGCCACACUAGUAUUUGAGCCCAAGGACUUCAUCCAGUCAAGUUAUUGUGUUGAUCGAUGCAGAGGAGGGAAAGUGACGUUACCUUCAAAAGGGACCAUCAUCAAAGCGGAAAGGAUGUGGAAUGGACUUCGGUGACACAUUUGGAUGAAGGCCAGUUGGGUACUUGACAAGCAGUCAGAGAUUUUACUGGAACGUUAAAAAAAUGUUUUCUUCUCAAAACCAACAUUCACGCCAUUGAAAGACAAGUUCGACAACGGCCGAUCUUCCAUAAAGUCAUCU
Long non-coding RNA from Entelurus aequoreus (snake pipefish), 311 nucleotides. RefSeq lists it as uncharacterized. NCBI's taxonomy places the organism in Eukaryota, Metazoa, Chordata, Actinopteri, Syngnathiformes, Syngnathidae. The record is from RefSeq and is a predicted model, not a curated record. The transcript is spliced from 3 exons.